AUGCGCCAUUGUUCUUCUUUACCAACUUUCUCAUUAUUUUUGCACUCUUGGUAUACUACAUUGUCAUACUGCCGCACCUAUACCAAGCUGAAAAAAUGUAUUAUCAAGAGGAUCAAAUGGAUAUGCAUCUGCAAACAAAUUAUACUACUAGUAGUGAUAGUGAGAAGACGAUGGUAGCUCCCAUCUUUG
Molecule: non-coding RNA, 189 nt
Filed under: Chaetoceros curvisetus
Lineage: Eukaryota; Bacillariophyta; Thalassiosirophyceae; Chaetocerotales; Chaetocerotaceae
Source: RNAcentral